This 293-nucleotide transfer-messenger RNA is filed under the name Cyanobium sp. NAT70. It matches the Rfam family "Cyanobacteria transfer-messenger RNA". Rfam says of the family: Bacterial tmRNA, also known as 10Sa RNA or SsrA, is named for its dual tRNA and mRNA-like properties. Lineage: Bacteria; Bacillati; Cyanobacteriota; Cyanophyceae; Synechococcales; Prochlorococcaceae. The record is from RNAcentral. RNAcentral also lists the same sequence under 1 other name.
CUGACAGAAUGACCUUGUCCAGCUCGUCUGGACUAGGUGGUUCACACCAGUGUUUCGGACAGCGGUUCGAUUCCGCUCAGCUCCAUUCCUCCCUCAAUCAGGGGGCUGCAAUGGUUUCGACGGGACAUAAGGAGGAUGACUGAAGCCUGCUCGGUUAGAGCAAAUCCCGUAACUGCGAACAACAUCGUACGUUUCUCCCGUCAAGCAGCCCCUGUUGCUGCCUGACCCUUUUAAGGGAGAUGGGGUGAGGUCAGCCUUAUCACCCAAAUGACUCAUGGGGCCUGGAAGGGCCC